GUGCUCCCUUCAGCAGCACAUAUACUAAAAUUGGAAUGAUACAGAGAAGAUUAGCAUGGCACAAGCAUGCACAAGAAUGGCACGCAUAUUCGUGAGGUGUUCCAUAUUAAA
Small nuclear RNA from Balaenoptera musculus (blue whale), 111 nucleotides. The record is from Ensembl. Lineage: Eukaryota; Metazoa; Chordata; Mammalia; Artiodactyla; Balaenopteridae.